UAAAGAGUCUCGUCAAGUGUGCGCUUAUCACUAAAUGAUCAAUGUUGGUGGUCUUCGUUUCUCGAUUAUCCUAAAGAAACCUUAAAUAUUCAAUGAAAUCCAAUCCAUAAAUAGUACUCAAAUCAGAAAAAGGGCUCUCAAGCUCAGUGUUGCAGUUUUUGAAUUUCGAGCAGUAAAAAUCCUAUCUUACUUAAAGGAUGAGUCAGCGUGGCCGUGGUUGCUGCCCAGGCUGCAGCGCAGAAUAUUUUAACAGAUCGAAACCGCCAAAUUGUACAAUGUGUGGAUACGCGCUGGGAGGAAGAUACGAACAAACUUCAAAAAAGAAGAAGUCUCUGUGUCCCUUAGCCGUCAAGCUUACAGAAUGUGACUUCAGCGUAAAAACAAGCAACAGAGAUGACCGUUGUUUUGUUUCAACAAAUGAAAUUCUCUGGUUUUGCAGUGUCGAAGAAUGUAAAGUGAAGAGGUCAUUGUUUGAAAAUUCCUCCCGCCUGGAAGAGUUUUCGUGCAAGCACGUGCAGAAUGCUAAGAACAAUUCCGUGGAUCCGUUAGCCGUUCUGACACCUCACUUGACGACUUUCCUUUGCAGUAAUUCGGUCAGAGAGCAACUGAAAGCCAUCGUUGAAGAAGAUAGCAAUCGACAACCAGUCAUCCAAGUGUCAGAAACUUCAUACGUGGUGUUAGGGUCCGCCACGGCAAGCAACCCAUUAGGCUACUGCCAUGUUCGCAAGAGCUCCAAGCGUGAUGGAGAAUAUGUGUGCGCAGGGAAAGAUUGCCGUGGCUAUUCCUCAAGAGCCAAGCAAAAGAAAACAAAGUCGAUGUGCCAACACGUACUUUUACUGCGUUCCUGCUUGCAGCCAACUGAGAGUGCUGCACCAUCUGAAUCUAGGUUUCCAAUUUCAACCCCUUCAUCGAUCCCUGAAUUACCAGCUCAGUCUAGUAAAUCGCAAACCAAACGAGCUUCAACUCUUAAUUUAGCAGAAAAGAACAGAAAAAUGCCAUAUAACAUCCCGCGUGAUAUACUUAAAAAAAUUGCGAUGAGAGACGCUUGUACAUUACUUAAUGUACAGGGAGGAUGGCCCGAUCUGUUUAUCCCAGCGGAAGAGACCUGUCAGCUUUGUGGGACGUCACUAGGAAUGCCAAUUGACCAUCCAGGACCACAUACGGAUCAGCCGUCGUAUCUUAUCACUGAACUGAAUCCUUUCAGAAAGGUCCAAUUGAAGGUGAAAUUUUGUCAAUCCAAUGAAUGUUUGGCAAUGCAUCAGGCACAAGUUGAAAAACUAGGAUUGUUCAACAUCAGUGAUAAGAUUUUGGUUUCGUUUGAUAUCCUUCUGGAGUUCAGAGAAUUUUUCAAAAAGGGACACCCAAUAGGAAACGUCAUAGGAGCUAAGUUGAUGACAAUGAAAAGAAAGUGUAAAGGAGAAAACAAUCCGACGGACAAUCAAAUUGUAUACAUGGAAGAUCUGCUAUACAAUGGAUUUUUUAGUUUUGAGUUGGUAGCACAAAGGAGCUUGGAUGAUGUGAUAUGUGGAGUUUGUGGAAUUUCUCCAGAAAUAUAUCUUGGAGAUAGAAAUGAAAAGAACUGUUGCACGAAUAGCCAGAUCGUUUAUACGAAAAAGGGAGAACCUCAAAAGUCCAUGAUUUCCUUGGAAGAAUUACUUGCUAUUCUAAGACGUCGCUGGCUAGAGAAAACUGUUUAUACAAGGAUUCAAGAACCUUUUUCAAUAGCGUUAGAGCAAUUGCCACCACUUAUACCGCCUAGCUUGGGAAAUGAAAAUAUUCUCAACACUGAAAUUUGCAAGAAAAGUGUUUACCUAAAGUCAAACACGCAACCCACAGGUGACCCUGCCCUUCUUCAUAAAAUGAUUGUUAGUGGUUCCAUCGAAAUGGAGAAAAUUAGCAGCUAUACCAUGGAAGAUGUCGUUCGAGCUUGUUCAGCGUGNGGAAUACCAACUUCAGGAAAAUCCAAGGAAUAUCUGAGUGGAAUGUUGAACAGUUUGUAUGAGGCAAUAUUGGUUGGUGUCUGCCCUUGCCAUGGAUUUGGUAGCCUCCCAGGCCACACCGGAGGAUUUUAUCAUAUUGUCUGUCGUCAUGGGACAACAGUUGCAUCAAAGUUCCUUACUUUAACGGAAUCGGUGAGGGAUGCUGCAGAUUUGUACCUUUCUUUAAAGUACCCACCUACUGUAUUCAUAAAUGACACCCCANGUGGGUUUGUACGUCACCUUGAGUGCAGAGAUCCAGCAAAAGCAAAGCAAUUAUGGGGAGAUAAUGCUGGUUGUUUUGAGAAACCCGAGGUCGGAAAGGAACCAUGCAAGGACCAAAAUGUCCCAGAGCUUGUAACCCCAGAGUACAGCGAUAGCUCUCUUGAUGGACGUACUGGGAAACAUUUCGUUCUUGGGGACAGAUUUCACGCUGCUGCAGAACCCCAUAAAUCCCCUCUUUGCGAAUAUCACGACAUUAACUUAUGUCUUCAAGCGAAUGCCAUUAAAACAAGCACACAAGAGUNGCAGAAUAACAGAAAAAACACAAAGAGAUUAAGAAGCUCAUGUAUGCAGAGCUUUGAAGUGCACAUCUUAUAUAAUUACUUAAUGGACUAUUACCAAAAUGAGGAAAUUGUAACGAAACAAAGAAAGCUCUUAGAAAAUCAUUUGGGUCGAGGUCAAACUUUAGUAAGAGACGACUUACUUAGGUUUAAAAUAAAUGUAGAAUAAAUGCAAUUGCCCUAUUUCAUAACAACGUCAAAUCAAGCUAUUGUUUUUGACUGGGGAUCAUGGUCACCGGAGGGGGAUGGAAAGACACAGCACAUUUAAAUCACAAUAAAAUUUGGUUUAUGAGCUGGUAAAGGCAAGAGCAGCAAAAUAUGACGCUAAAUAUCUCGAAAUAAGAGAAUUAAGCUUNAAUUUAGAAUAAAUUUAUUGUUUUCUCCCACUGAAGUUUGUUUACUACGACUAAAGGUCAGUCUAGCCNCCUUAGCAGCCACGUUCUUAGUGUAGAGAAGUUGUUGCGUGACGACCCUAAUGUCUGCNAAGAAGGAUAAGGUCAGUCANAUCAAAGCAGCUUUAUUCGAGGNUAAUAAAGCACCAGCACUAUUUCAAUAGCAGAGGAGACUCUAACCCCAACAAUUCACACUAAAUUUCGCCCGGACAAGAAAUAAAAACAUGCUACUAUACUACCUUGCCUGAAGUGCUUAAUCAACCAGAAACUCGAUCAUUCGGCAUUAUAAUAACUUUCAAAUACGGAAUUCAACUCGAGAGAGGUUUUGAGGCUUCUUAACUUUUCUAUUAGGAUACUUCCAAAUGACGGAAGGGUACAAUAAAGUAAAUAAAGUUUAUAAUCGACNAGGUUUAUAAUCUCUAUGUUCGAGUGUGCUACAACAGGAGUUUACUUUAUUGAUACUAACAUAUUCGCUUACAAAUAUACCGCUAGCCUGUGAACGCCGAAAAUCCAUUACCUAGAUUGGCUUCUCAACCCUUUUACAAAUCACGAAACUGCGAUCGUGAAGUCGGACUCGAAAGAUGAAUUUGGAAUACAAAGUUCAAAAUUAUAUUCGUAGAUUCCAANGUNGCCGGAGUCUUAUCAAUAUGAUACGUCUUUCCAAUUGGUGGACAACCCUGACCACCGCUAAGCCUAUGUGAACCAAUCAGAAUCACGCUUGCAAACAGUGAAGCCUAACAGACUUCAACACGGUUUUACUAUUGUUUUCUAUAAUUUGACUCAAUAAUGUGUUGGGAAUGAGGUAGGGAAUGGUGUUUUGCAUGUUUAACUUCAUGGUGGAGUCACGGCUUAUGUUCACUGUAUUUUCAACAGCUUGAGUGACGGUAGGUGCAGCACUUGAAGAUGACUUGUCGCCAGUUCCAUCAUUUUCUGUUGGCUGGUCUGUAAUACAUAGUAAAACAUGGACGAGAGACAUAUUUCUCUGUGUUUGAAAUGUUUGGUCUUACUGGAGUGCAUCUUGCACUCCUGGCAAGAACUAACAAUUUUUCUUUGCCCUUUGUUUGUGGUCGUUUUCACGUGGCAAUAUCCAAUGGAAUUCGUAGAAGAAGCAAAUCCAUUGAUACNAUAAGAGCUCUCUGACACUUGGACUCUAGAUGAAAGUAAAGAAGUUUGCAUCACAUUUGAGUGUGCUUUUGGUCAGCUGGGCACACUUGUAAGAAGAAAUAAGUUCCUCGGAUCGUUGAUAAAUUGUGAGUGGUGAAACAGCUCCCGUUAACUUUGAAGUGUGGGGGCAUGAGAAUUGUUGUGGGUUUUGGCUGUUCACAUGCAGAGAUCUAGAUUGAAGGCAUUUAUUUAGAAGGCACCGACAAAUACCAUCAUCCUCAAUGACAAAACACCUGGAAUCUUUUCGUGGGCCUUAACGGAGAAUAUCUUGAUGCCAAGAUGGUGCCACGAUGGUUAGCGACCAGCACGCAGUCUGGUGUGUUCGGCUUUAAUUUCUUUUCUUUCAGCGUGUAUGAUCCGCCGAGAGGGAAUCUGCAGUCCUGGCAAUUGACUCAUUUUCCUCCAGGUAGCUUGCCAAUUCUGGAUUCUUUGCGAGGGAGACCCAUGAGUUGUAGUCCUCACCGUAACUUUCCCAUUUCACUAAAACCUCGCCUUCUCUCCUCUCUUUGACCUUCUCGAUCGCCCACAGCUUCUUUCGUAGAUUUUCCUCUCUUUAUCUUCGUCUUUUAGUAAGAUGUCGAUGAUUUCGGCAUCACAAAACAUUUCCUUUUCUGUAUUUUUAUCCAAGCGUCCAGAAAGUGUUAUGAAUGUCAUCUUUGCCCAGAUACAGCAAGUUAGGGGAAAACCGGUCUCCCAAAUAUGGAAUGCAUUAACCAUAUAUGAGAGAGUAAACGCCAACUUUUUCAAUUCAAUGUUCCAUAUGCCGUGGCUUGUAGUGGUUGAAAAAACUGGCUUUGCAAUAACUGCAAGAUCCUUGACCACGUUCACUCUAAAAGAAAACAGAACAUGGUCUAUCCUUUCAUCUUAAAGAUCUAGAAUGCCGACUCACACGUUAUGAUUUAUACGUCCAAUAACAUUCAGUAUUUGUAACCAAACAUACCAUGUAGAAUAGUCACGCGGUGGAGAAGUUGACGGUGAUCCAAGCGAAUAAAUACUAAGGAUAACUUGAUGGUGAUCCAAGCGAAUAAAUACUUCAAAAGUUAUUGCAAAACAAAUUAGCAAGUACUCCAAGCUUUGAUACUUCAAGCGAAAUAAAUUCAAAAUACACAACAAAAACUAAUACACCAAUUGUGAUUGGUCCUAUAUGCACCAAUCAAAACAGAUAUUUACUAAACAAGGGAUGUGAUUGGUACGAUACCGUCGAAACCGUCAAUUAGCUACGAACCAAUCACAGCAAAGGUUACGAGAAGCGCUACACUACUGCUUGGUGAUUGGGUUAUUUGGCUAUGCUAAAUUAUUCUCUUCUCUUGUUGACUGGUUUCAGGUCAAGGAAACUACAUAGUAUAUUUCUCGCUGCAUGUCAUUUCCCGAUUGCCUUCAUACGGAGAGCCAAAACUUGUUUACCUGGAAUCUUUUACUUUAGUCCGAUGUAUUGAACUUCGAAUCUGAAUGCUGUGAAUGACACUCUGUAGUGACACUUUAUGAUCCAAGUGGAACCUAAGCCUUGUCUUUUAGUAACAUUUUCAAGAAGUUCUAAAUCUCCAACACAAAAACGACAACACGCGGGUUGCUGAGGAUGCGACUGUAACUCUUUCGUCUNAAUAAUAACUCUUCCAGCAACUUUCUCUCAAGAAUCAGAAUCAGAGUUGGUUCGGUAGUGAGAAUUCUCCUUUCUUUGAUGUGCUAUUUUUUCGUGACUAGCACUGGUUUGCAGUUCAGUCGUAGCAUUAUCUUCCUUCAAUAAAGCUUCUUCUUGGUUAUAAUAGGAACCCAAGUCACUGUGUGCCAUUCACAACAAUUUAUAUGUGUCAGUUUUCUGGCCCUUUUUUCUUUUAGACUUCAAACUUUUUGGUAAAAAUGGAUUCGUACGCUUUCGGUCUUGUGCUGACAUAUUACUCAACCAUCAUAAAAGUGACUAGAAAAUUAUAACCGAGAAGUACAACAACCAUAACAAGUAUCAAAAACUCUCCACUCGUGGCAAAUGUCUGAAAUAGAGGAUUGUCGAGCCGAUGAUCUAAAAUUGGUCUAAAAUGCUCAGUAUUGAGCGAAUGACCUAGCUGGUAAAUGUAAAAAUGUAAAUGAUGCUCAGUCAUAGCAACUUGAUGUAAUAGCGACGUGUGACAGGUCGUUGACAAGUGAUGUCAACAGAUAAUUAAAGACAAUUAAAGCUAAAAACCGUAAUUUAUUUUUUACUNGCUAUUAAAAAUCACUAGCGAAAAUGUUUUGGGGGAAAUUUAAGAAUAUUAUAUAUUUUAUCGGAAAAUGUAAAAAUGCAAAAAUCGAUACUUUUGAGCAAUUUUGGGGUUCCCUCCCGCNGGGGUUCCCUUUUACCUUAAAAACCGCAUUAAGUCAACAUCAAUGGUUACUUCUUCAUCUAAGUUAGACUAGACAUUUUUCCCCUUUUUUGCUUGAUGUGACUCAUCCGGCCUUCGAUUUCCUGGAGCAUAAAGACAUUGUUUGAAUGUCUGCAAAGAUUGCUACUCUAAACGGAGGAAGAACUUUUCACACAAUUGCCACAUUUCACUCAGAACUUAAAACAUUGACAGGAUUUACAUAUGAACUACAGAACACGAUUUAAAAAGAAAGCAAAACAAAAACUUCAAACUUAAAUUUUAGUUGCAACAGCAGCAAUGUGGCUGAAGAUGAUUCCCAGUAUUUCUCAUAUAUGUCUCUAUAGAGUAGGUGCAUGUUACGUCAUUGCCGCCAUCUUGUUUGACGAUAACAAAGCAUUCAUUAGCUUCUCUUGUUAGAUCAGCCAAGAUGGCGGCAUAUCUCAAGGGAUUAUGAGUCACAUGGUUGCACAUACUCUAUUGACUGAGGUGAAAUCGAAAUUAAAUAAUAUCAAGCAUAAUAGAAACAAUUGAGGUUUCUAGUAUAACAACAAAUUACAUCUGACAAACCAAACCUAUUGAAAUAACACUUGGUUAAGGUAUUGAGGUUGACUUUGCAACGGAUUAAACUGCAGGUUGCAGGUUUGCAGCACACAGUACAUUGUGACUGAUCUUUUCUUCUGUGUAUGUCUUCUUGCCUUGUCUAAAAGUGUGAUUAUGCUAUUUUGAUAUUUGGGAGCACGCGAUGGGAAACGUAUAAUGGGCCUAAGACAGAAAACCAUGCAAUCUGAUUUCCAGCUUCGUAACCANCUAUAAAAAGUUAUUCAGUGUGCGUGUGUGAUGCAAUAAAGUAUUGUCCCAAAAGGGGAAAAUAUUGUAUGGAUGAAGGCUAAUAUACCCUGAUGAAUGCCGAUGAAACCUGAUGACUGCUGAUGAACCCUGAUGAAUGCUGAUGAAACCUGAUAAAUGCUGAUGAACCCUGAUGAAUGCUAAUGAACCCUGAUGAAUGCUGAUAAACCCUGAUGAAUGCUGAUGAACCCUUAUGAAUGCUAAUGAACCCUGAUGAAUGCUAAUGAACCCUGAUGAAUGCUGAUGAACCCCAAAGAAGAAGAAUAAAGUAGAAGAAAUGAAAAAAGACACUGGUAUGACUGCGGUUUUUGAUACUCUGCGACCUCAGUAGUUAGAAGCUUCACGUUGAAAUUUGGUUUUUCACUGCGUUCAAUCAAGAAUAGGGACCUUAAGCUGCAGGACGGCACCGUUGGCGACAACGUCGGCGAAGUUGAGGCGCUUCAGCCUUCUAUCGUAUUUAUAUUUCGUGUUUACCUUGUAUUUUACUCAAUAAGCAUCCCCGUUUUAGAGUGAAAUAACGUCUUUUGGGAGCGCUUUACUUAUAACAAAAAUCAGCAAAGAUAAGCUUUUGGCGUAGCCGUUCUCUUUAGUACGUAAAAAUAGGACAUUUCACGUCUUACUUUCAGCAUAAGACGGCAAUGAUGCACAGUGUUUCGUACAUUCCAACGAGUAUCUAUUGAAUAGCGCAAUUACUGCUAUUGUAUGGUUGCCGUCGUUGUCCUUUUUUCAGUAUCCUGUACUAGUAUUUUAUACAAGCAACACAACAGCUAUGUCUUUAGAAUACCAAUCAAAUGGACAGUCCCUGAGGUUAUUAGUUCAUCCUAUACAAAACAUUUAAGGGUGGCCCUCAACACUUUGUUGGGAACCACUUUUCCUUAAGGGGAGGGUAGGUUUGAACUUUUGAUCUCAAGGACCUUUGUCUAGCUUACCCUAAGGUCAAAAAAAUUUACAAAAAGACUUUUCAAAAAUUUAUGUGAAUUUUUUACUUUUUUAAAGCCAAUUGGAUUUUAUCUUUUUCUGUAUUCUUGGUUGACUUGUCCAGUUUUUCCUUUAAGACCUGACCACCUUACCUGGGAUUUGAACCUUGAUAUCGCCACUUGCCUUGAAGUCUCUCAUACUGUACUGUAUACCAUCAGUUAGAUUGUUGAAUGGUUAGGUAUCAAUGUACCUUAAAUCAUAUAGCUCUUUAAUAACCUGAAUGAAUUACUCAAUUAAAGUUCUUAUGAAUACU
RNAcentral lists this unclassified non-coding RNA (8505 nucleotides) under Actinia tenebrosa (Australian red waratah sea anemone). RNAcentral's name for it is "hMG domain-containing protein 3-like, transcript variant X1". The record is from RNAcentral. Lineage: Eukaryota; Metazoa; Cnidaria; Anthozoa; Actiniaria; Actiniidae.